CAGGCCUAACACAUGCAAGUCGAACGGUGCUAGCAAUAGCAUAGUGGCGCACGGGUGCGUAACGCGUGGGAAUCUGCCCUGGGGUUGGGAAUAGCGGCUGGAAACGGCCGGUAAUACCUGAUGAUGUCGAAAGACCAAAGAUUUAUCGCCCUGGGAUGAGCCCGCGUCGGAUUAGCUAGUUGGUGGGGUAAAGGCCUACCAAGGCGACGAUGACUAGGGGAGCUGAGAGGCUGGUCCCCCACACGGGCACUGAGAUACGGGCCCGACUCCUACGGGAGGCAGCAGUAGGGAAUAUUGGGCAAUGGGCGAGAGCCUGACCCAGCCAUGCCGCGUGCAGGAAGAAGGCUUUCUGAGUCGUAAACUGCUUUUGAUAGGGAAGAAUAACCAGUACGUGUACUGGGAUGACGGUACCUACAGAAUAAGCACCGGCUAACUCCGUGCCAGCAGCCGCGGUAA
RNAcentral lists this ribosomal RNA (456 nucleotides) under uncultured bacterium. Its description in RNAcentral is "bacterial SSU rRNA". It matches the Rfam family "Bacterial small subunit ribosomal RNA", at positions 43 to 523 of the family's 1533-position model. The record is from RNAcentral.